This 623-nucleotide ribosomal RNA is filed under the name Proteus mirabilis. RNAcentral's name for it is "partial 23S ribosomal RNA". It matches the Rfam family "Bacterial large subunit ribosomal RNA", at positions 588 to 1211 of the family's 2925-position model. Lineage: Bacteria; Pseudomonadati; Pseudomonadota; Gammaproteobacteria; Enterobacterales; Morganellaceae. The record is from RNAcentral.
AUGGGGUGACUGCGUACCUUUUGUAUAAUGGGUCAGCGACUUAUAUUCUGUAGCGAGGUUAACCGUAUAGGGGAGCCGUAGGGAAACCGAGUCUUAACUGGGCGAAUGAGUUGCAGGGUAUAGACCCGAAACCCGGUGAUCUAUCCAUGGGCAGGUUGAAGGUUGGGUAACACUAACUGGAGGACCGAACCGACUAAUGUUGAAAAAUUAGCGGAUGACUUGUGGAUGGGGGUGAAAGGCCAAUCAAACCGGGAGAUAGCUGGUUCUCCCCGAAAGCUAUUUAGGUAGCGCCUCGUGAAUUCAUCUUCGGGGGUAGAGCACUGUUUCGACUAGGGGGUCAUCCCGACUUACCAACUCGAUGCAAACUGCGAAUACCGAAGAAUGUUAUCACGGGAGACACACGGCGGGUGCUAACGUCCGUCGUGAAGAGGGAAACAACCCAGACCGCCAGCUAAGGUCCCAAAGUCAUGGUUAAGUGGGAAACGAAGUGGGAAGGCUCAGACAGCCAGGAUGUUGGCUUAGAAGCAGCCAUCAUUUAAAGAAAGCGUAAUAGCUCACUGGUCGAGUCGGCCCGCGCGGAAGAUGUAACGGGGCUAAACCAUGCACCGAAGCUGCGGCAGCGA